GUGUCAGCCGCCGCGGUAAUACAGAGACUGCAAGCGUUAUUCGGAUUCACUGGGCGUAAAGGGUGCGCAGGCGGUUAUGUGUGUUAGAUGUGAAAGCCCGAGGCUCAACCUCGGAAUUGCGUCUAAAACUACAUGACUAGAGUACCGGAGAGGAUAGCGGAAUUCACGGUGUAGCAGUGAAAUGCGUAGAUAUCGUGAAGAACACCAGCGGCGAAGGCGGCUAUCUGGAAGGUUACUGACGCUCAGGCACGAAAGCGUGGGGAGCAAAAGGGAUUAGAAACCCGCGUAGUCC
This 292-nucleotide ribosomal RNA is filed under the name uncultured bacterium. Its description in RNAcentral is "partial 16S ribosomal RNA". It matches the Rfam family "Bacterial small subunit ribosomal RNA", at positions 505 to 796 of the family's 1533-position model. The record is from RNAcentral.